Long non-coding RNA from Apis dorsata (giant honeybee), 3579 nucleotides. RefSeq lists it as uncharacterized. The record is from RefSeq and is a predicted model, not a curated record. NCBI's taxonomy places the organism in Eukaryota, Metazoa, Arthropoda, Insecta, Hymenoptera, Apidae. The transcript has 5 exons.
CCGUUAUAUUCAAAAAUAGAUAUGAAAUUAUGUAACUUCAGCGUUCUUAUAUAUAAACGAUAUAAAUCCAACGAUACUUCAAUAAUCGCUGACUAGUCAAUUAAACCCGAUAAUGUUGCACGUACACACACAUCGCGAUUAAUCCUCGUUGUUUCGACAUGUUAGAAUUCUCCACAUCUGACGAAUACGUUCUGACAUGGCCGCUCGUCUUAGAUCGCGGGAUCGCCGCUAACGAUUGCACGAUUUUUCAUGCGAUAUCGCGGCUAUCGUUAACGAGUAUCUCUCUUAAUGCCUUCGUCCCUCCAUCCUCGCAAUGUUUCAUUACCCUCGACCAACUAUCGUCCCUCUCCUCAUUCCAUUUUUUAUUCUUUUCUUUCCAUUCGUAUCUGUCUCUCCUUACGGUUUACCACCUCUAUCUCGGGUGAACCGAUUCCAUCUCGCUUCCACGACCCUCCUCCACCGCUACCUCCUCCUCCUCCUCCUCCUCCUCCUCCUUCUCUAUCCCUCUCUUCGUCGCUCCUCGAAUUCUCGAUCCCUCCCGGCAGCGUUUCAGAGUCGGGACGCUUUUAUCGUGUCGGCCGAUCGCGAAACGGCAUCUCGCGAUAAUUGUGAAAUAUUAAUAAUAACGAGGAAACGGGGCGCCCUUGGUGUGGCGCAACUCGGCCAUUUACGCGGCCAAAUAACAUCUAGACACCGGUACGCGCCAUCGUUCGUUCGAUCGAGAGCGAAAACACGGAAUGAAAGACCGUGGAAAGACGAUCCUCCGAUCCUAUCGAUCUCAUUUAUGCCGCUCUACGCCGCUCUAAAUAAUAUCGUUAUGCAAAAUUCGUCUCGGUGAGACGGUGUAAACGCGGCGGCUUUGAUAUCAUGAUCGAUUUUUAGUAGGUUCGAUCGUUGAGGGUCGUAAAUCAAUCCAGAACGACGUGAGAUAAAUGUCGCAAAAUUAGAGGGCUUGAUACCGCGCGAUUCGGUUGCGCGCGUUAAUUGAAUACACGGGCGGAAAAUAAGAAGGCUGCGCGCGCAGCUUUUGCGAUUGAAGGCGCACGCGCUACUCGAACUGUUCUAGCAACGGCGGGGGCUUGUUUAAAAGAGAUCGACUAUAAAGAUGACGCUUCUUGUUCUGCUUACCUGCGAGGUUAUUUGAUAUAAUGAUGUGGAUUAAUUGGACGAUGAGAUGAAAGGGUUAAAGGACCUUAAUAACCUCUUUUGUGAAAGUUUCGAAGUAAAUAGUGGGAUUUGUUAUUUGCUGUUUGAACGAUGACACGUGGAGGGAAUACAUGUUGCGCGGUACUGUCGUUGGUUAGAUGUUAAGAAAGGGCAAGUUAAUAAAUUGAUAUCGAGGGGAAGGCAAUUUAACUGGAAACGAACCGGCAGAUAGCCCACGAGCAGCGACGCCAUUGCACCCGGAGAUAAAACAGUGAUAGGGAGAUCGAUGAAGGCGAUAGUUGAAGUUAUUACCGGAUAGAGGAAGCGGCCGUGACAAAGACGGAGACCGGACGAAAAAGAGAAACAGAAACUGUUAGUCCGGGCCCUUGCGUACGCUUACGGGGAUGUAGGGGGGAGGGGAGGGAUGGAAGGAGACGUAGAAACGCGAAACUCGAAGGACGAAGAGCGCGUACAAUGGGUAACAUCGCGAGGAAGGACGAAGAGGAAAGAAAGCGCCGCUUUUGAUGAAGAGAAGAAGGAAAAAGAGAGAGAGAGAGAGAGAGAGGGAGGCAGAAUAAGUGAGGACACAAUAGAAGAAAGAAAGAUAGAUAGAGACGAACGCGGAUGUGGAAAUAGGGGCGAGAAGGAGGAAGGAAGAGAGAGAGGGGUGUGGAGAAGGGGUGUAGAGGAGUGCACGAAGACCGAUAAGCAGAAACGGUUAUCAAGAAAUGGAAAUGACUGAUAAAAGUCUGGCAGCGAGUUGUCGUUGGAACGUUUUUAAUAUUACAUUAAGUCGGGAUUAUACUUUGUAUAUUAUGUAUAUAUAUAUAUAUAUAUAUAUAGGAACGCGACGAUUUGUGUCGUGUUAUGACGCAUCGUCGCGGGGCACGCGAAAUUUCACGGUCUCGUUACGACCGACCCGGAACGAUUUAAUUAACGAUCGACUGGUAAAACGGAAGGGAUAGGCGGAGAGAUCGGGCGAGAAUGAUUUUAAUCGGGCGAUGAUCAAGCAUGGAGAAAGGACAAAAACGUUAAGGAUCGAUGAGAUGUUCGAUCGUGCGUGAUAAUAAGUGUCGAGUGUGUAAUCGUUUGGAUUUGAAUAUUUUUCGGUGAAUCAGCAGUUUUGGAUUAUUAAUUCGUGCUCAUCGUGUUAAGCACACGGGAUACUUUCUUAUGUAAAAAUGACAUUAAAUGAUAAUAACGAGAGAUAUUAGAUUAGAUUUAACGAGUUGUCAUCGAGGGGAGACGUGAGUCGUCGUCUUUUGUCUUUAAAGCGUUGAUAACGGUUGACGAUUUGUCUUCUGGUAUAUUUCUAUUCAGUAAUGAAGAGAUAGUCAAACAUGGAGCAUCGGUUGAAUAUGGAAAUUUUUGCAGAUGUAACGAGUGAUAAUAAAAUAACAAUAGUUGUGACGGCGAUAGUGAUAAUUCUUUUCCCUAAUGAAAAAUUAUAUAACAAGAAGAAAAAUUGUUUUCGAUAAUGUGUGAGAAUUAAGGCAUCAUCAAUGAUGACUUAAUAUCUUAGAUUUACCAAGUCAUCGUGUGGCUCUCUCUGAACACGAGCCUCGAGUCCAACUGUUUUGACACUCGUUCGUCUCGUAGCCGGCCUCUGCUCCUCUCGUCGGCCUUUCUUCUUCUCCGGCCUCCGAAUUCCAUGCCGAGUUAUAUCAGAAUAUCUAUGGACUCGUCUGGACCACUUUUCGCUUAAUCGUCUUCUACUCUUCGUCUGGUACCGCCGCUACCUAGCGAACAUCUGUCCGUAAUGCCAUGUUGCUCUUUUAACUGAAUAUCGUUGUUUGGACGUUUAGAAGAUAGUAAUGAUUAAAUAGAUAAAAACUUGGAAAAUACAAUAUUAAUAUUCAGCGAUUGGAAACAGUUAAAAGGAAUUUCGAAGUUUAAGGAUAAUCUAGAAGAGAAUCUUCCUACACCAAAAGCGAUACGACAAGUCGGAGGAUGUUCCGCGAUUGCAGUGACGCACGCAAACGUACAAAGGUCGCCUCGUAAAUAGUUUAAUCUCCGAGCGAUCAAGCUGGCGUCUGAUUAAAACUGUCUCGCCUCUGUUAAUCAUUAUCUCUCCCGUUCGAAAGUACAAAGAUGCGUUUUGUCUUCGACGUGAAUUUUUGUAUUCCUUUAAAAAUUUAACGAGCCUGGAACAGUUCGUCCAGUGUUCCAUUUUGUGUAUCGCUAUCCAAUCACGAUUAUCCAGAAGAAAAAACUCAUUAUGCUAAUCAUCAAAAGACGAGAGAAGAAUGUUAUUACAUAAUUAUCAAAAUUGAUAAUUUCAAACUUUUGGAAAAAAUAUUCCAAAAUUUCAAGACUCCGCUUGCAUAAUUUACUCGAUUCAACAUUUAUUGUAUCCAGUUCUUCAAAGUUGUGUCCACGCUUUUUCGAAAAAUAUUUCAGCACUAUAAUAUAUAUAAUAGGUACAUUAUUCAA